RNAcentral lists this ribosomal RNA (851 nucleotides) under uncultured bacterium. RNAcentral describes it as "bacterial SSU rRNA". It matches the Rfam family "Bacterial small subunit ribosomal RNA", at positions 9 to 873 of the family's 1533-position model. The record is from RNAcentral.
AGACCUUUAUCCUGGCUCAAGAUGAACGCUGGCGGCCUGCCUAACACAUGCAAGUCAAACGAUUAACCCACCUUCCGGUGGUUAUAGAGUGGCCAACCGGUGAGUAACACGAGAGCAACCAACCCCACACUUUGGGACCACCUGUCGAAAGACAGGCUAAUACCGAAUAUUCUCUUCUUUCCACACGGAUUGAAGAGGAAAGCUCUGGCGGUGUGGGACGGGCUCGCGGUCCAUUAGGUAGUUGGUGAGGUAACGGCCCACCAAGCCCACGAUGGAUAGCCGGACUGAGAGGUUGAUCGGCCACAUUGGGACUGAGAUACGGCCCAGACUCCUACGGGAGGCAGCAGUGGGGAAUAUUGCGCAAUGGGGGAAACCCUGACGCAGCAACGCCGUGUGCAGGACGAAGGCUUUCGGGUUGUAAACUGCUUUCAGUAGGGAAGAUUCAGACGGUACCUACAGAAGAAGCCCCGGCUAAAUACGUGCCAGCAGCCGCGGUAAUACGUAUGGGGCAAGCGUUAUCCGGAUUCAUUGGGCGUAAAGCGCGCGCAGGCGGGCUGUUAAGCGAGGCCUCUAAUCCCAGGGCUCAACCUUGGGCCGGGCCUCGAACUGGCAGCCUCGAGUGAGGUAGAGGUAGAUGGAAUUCCCGGUGUAGCGGUGGAAUGCGCAGAUAUCGGGAAGAACACCGACAGCGAAGGCAGUCUACUGGGCCUUUACUGACGCUGAGGCGCGAAAGCUGGGGGAGCAAACAAAAGUAGCUACCCUGGUAGUCCCAGCCGUAACCGAUCCUUAAAAGGUGUGGGGAGAAUUCUCUUUCCGUGCCAACGCUAACGCAUUAAGGCUCCGCCUGGAGA